AGAUUGAACGCUGGCGGCAUGCCUUACACAUGCAAGUCGAACGGCAGCACGGGAGCAAUCCUGGUGGCGAGUGGCGAACGGGUGAGUAAUAUAUCGGAACGUGCCCAGUCGUGGGGGAUAACGUAGAGAAAUUUACGCUAAUACCGCAUACGAUCCAAGGAUGAAAGCGGGGGACCGUAAGGCCUCGCGCGACUGGAGCGGCUGAUAUCAGAUUAGCUUGUUGGUGAGGUAAAAGCUCACCAAGGCGACGAUCUGUAGCUGGUUUGAGAGAACGACCAGCCACACUGGGACUGAGACACGGCCCAGACUCCUACGGGAGGCAGCAGUGGGAAUUUUGGACAAUGGGCGAAAGCCUGAUCCAGCAAUGCCGCUUGCAGGAAGAAGGCCUUCGGUUGUAAACUGCUUUGUACGGAGCGAAAAGGUCUGCCCUAAUACGGCGGACCCAUGACGGUACCGUAAGAAUAAGCACCGGCUAACUACGUGCCAGCAGCCUA
RNAcentral lists this ribosomal RNA (494 nucleotides) under uncultured soil bacterium. RNAcentral's name for it is "bacterial SSU rRNA". It matches the Rfam family "Bacterial small subunit ribosomal RNA", at positions 26 to 518 of the family's 1533-position model. The record is from RNAcentral.